GUCUGGGAGAUGAUUCCUUCUCUAUCUCUAAAAAGUUUUUAUGAAGACUAAUGCAAGAAGGAUGUCCACAAAUGAAGACAUACCUUCCUUUUCUAAUAGAUAAAGAAAGAAAGACUCUACCAAAGGUUAUAUGAUUAAGACCAAUGUGAAAAUAUCAAGAAAAAACAAUGUCUUGUAGGGCUAGGUCUAAACCAGAAUUUAUAGAAAGAUUAUCAGAUUCCCUAGGUGUAGCUAAAAGUGCAUUAUCUUCUUGAUUAAAAGAUAGGACCUCGGCUAUAGAAAAGGGUUGGUUUUGAUCUAUUGCAAUCAACUCCGGACACAGAUCAUAAUUAGGGGCAGAACUUGUUGACUCCCAUGGUCUAUGGCUGGUCUCCGAAGGUGCAAAGAAUUUAGUAAUAGGUAUGGAAUUUAAGUUAUCCAAAAAGUUAGAAAAAAUAAAAAGAUAAAAGAAUAAAAGUAUAAAAGUAUAAUACAAGAUAAUAGCAAGACUUAAAGUUAUCUCAGCAAACCGUCUUUCUCCCCGGCAACGGCGCCAGAAAUGCUUGUUGAUAUUUGGUUACGCAAUAAGGAAAUGAUCCGCGAGCGCAC
This 588-nucleotide long non-coding RNA is filed under the name Sorghum bicolor (sorghum). RNAcentral's name for it is "long non-coding RNA (SBIC_LNC017832)". Lineage: Eukaryota; Viridiplantae; Streptophyta; Magnoliopsida; Poales; Poaceae. The record is from RNAcentral.